Physeter macrocephalus (sperm whale) is the source of this 3711-nucleotide long non-coding RNA. RefSeq lists it as uncharacterized. The record is from RefSeq and is a predicted model, not a curated record. The transcript has 3 exons. Lineage: Eukaryota; Metazoa; Chordata; Mammalia; Artiodactyla; Physeteridae.
CCUUCCGCCCCGCGCCCAGACAGGAAGUCCCGGGCGCCCGCCCCGGAGAGCGGCCGCGGCCCGCGGCGCGGGGGACACCUGAGGCAGGGAGUCGUCCCGGGGGCCGCGGCUGGGACGAGGCCCCUCGGCAGGAAGACGCACGUUUCACGCUCUGCGGAAGAGAAGUCUGCAGUCGUCCCCACGCUAGAAGAGAGCCAUUAAUCAAAUUUUCUUUCUGGAAGAGCUCUAAUGCCCAGUCCCGCAGCUGGACGGAAAGGUGGCUAAUUAAUUAACUUGUUGGGCUGUGUCAAAGCGUAGGCUGCGUGUAAGCCUUGAAAGCUUACACUUGAAAGCGCUGCGCUGUAAAACACGCAUACCAACCCCAAAAGUCAUACCUACAAAAUAUUACCAAGGCUUUCCUGGGACAAAGUAAGGGGCUUCCAACCACUCUCGGGGACCGACUUCGCCCUCUUCCCUCUACAGAGGUAUGGAAAAGCACACCAGACAGGUGUUUAUUAGCAAACAGAACAUGCCAACCUCUGCGAGACUCGAUUAUCCUCCCCCAGUUGGCUAGCCAUGACAUUUAUGUACCCUCUUAGAUUUCUAUUUGGCUCGCUCGGAAACAAGCGAACGUAUUCACUUACAUCGUCAUCUACUUUUAAAGAUCUUUUUGAUAAAACUAACCUUAUUACAAAUAACGUACAUAUUAAAUACAGUAGACGCGGGAGCUAGAUUGCCGUUUAGUGACUAGAGACUUACUGACAACACAGGAAACCAAGCCUAUAAAAUGACCCAGAUGAAGCUUCAUUAAAACAAACACAAAAAAUGCUUCCCUGGGUUCAAAAUUACAUAAUAUAAGACAAACUGAAACAAAAGGUUGCCUAUGGUUGUUUGUCCACAAAACAGUGCCUCCUACAGAAUAAGUGUUCAAAAAGUUACUUGCUGAAUAAACACAAAAAAGAUUUGGUCGUUACAAAUUUUAAAUAACAAGGUGUAAUUUUUAUGACUUAAAUUGAAUGAACGGUGAUGGUAACUAGAGAAAAAAAAUGUCUCCAGUGGUAAUAUUGAUCCUACAUCGUUUUACCAAUGUUUGCCCAACAUGUGCAACUUCAGAGUUGAUUCCACAGCCCAUGACUUGGCUUUUUUCAUUUCUUCUUAAUACUCAUUUAUUCUUUUGGGCCUUUCCCCUAGCCCUAGCACCAUGAUCCCCAGCUUCCCAAAAAAGAACCCAUAGGCCAUUUCCAAAGCACAGCCCCCCUGAAACCAAACAGGGAUCUCUUCCUUGUGUUAGGUAAACUUGCCACCUAUUAGACAAAAGAAACUGUAUGACUGGUAGCUUUUAUUUUUUAUUUCUAGUCAAUUUAAAAUAAGGAUCAUCCAUUGACCGGCAGCAUCGUAAACUGAGACAGUUUGCAGGCUGAACUUAAUGACUCACUUCUAACAAAGAACAGAGCUGAAGUGACGGUGUGACUGCAGAAACUGUCUGCUUGAUCUCUGGCUUUGGGUCACUCAGAGGAAGCCAACUGCCCAUUAGGCAAGGAACAAUGGCACCCUGCCAACAGUCAUGCAACUGAACUCUCUAGGACACAAACCCUCCAGCCCUAAUCAAGCCUUCAGAUGAUUCCAGCUUCAUGGAAGAUCCUGAGUUACAAACCAUGCAACUUCUGCACCUAUCCACUGAAAAGUUCUUCAAAGGUCAACAUCAGCUUAUAAUUGCCAAGCCCAGCGAUCUCUUCCUAGUUUUCACCUGACUCUACCUCUCCAAACAAAUGAAAUUAUUGAUGACCCCUUAUUAAACUCCUUCCCUUCAUAUGAUUUUCAUGACAAUAAACUGUCUGGCUUUGUUUUUUUCCUGUUGACUUCGCCUACUUUGGCACAACCCUCAAAUGUGACUGUUCUUCCAAAGCAUGUGCCUUAGCCACUUUCUCUCUUCAUUCUCCACUCUCUCAAGAAUGGUAGUUAGUAUCCAUUCACCACCAGGGCUUUCAAUAUGAUUUGUGAACUGACUCAAAAAUCAACAUCUCUAGGCUUGACUUAUUAUUGUUUUCUUAAGUGCUACGUUCUAAUUUCCAAUUGUACAGUAAACGUCUUUAUUUGGAUAACCCACUGAUACCUAAAGGUCUUUUAUCUACAAAUCUCCUUUGUUUCCUCUAUCAAUAACAUCACCUUCAUCCCAAGCUAGAAAUCUUGAGUCAUCUGUGUUCCUUGUUUAGGAAGUCAUCUCUUGUACAGUUUUUGAGGAGGAUUUUAAAUGUAUAUGAAAUUACCAAAAAAAAAAAUAUAACAAACAGUCACGACCCCCACAUCCAGAACAAACAACUGUUAUCAUUUUGUCAUCUAUACUUGAAGGUGCUGUUUUUCCCUAAGAAAUAACACAUUACAUGUGGAGAUAAUUACAUCUUUGAGAACUACCCCCAGUCCUCAUUCACCAUUCUAUCUCUCCAAAGAAACCACUAUCAUGAGUUUUGUGUAUAUUCUUCCAGUCUAUGUUUUACACUUUUAUGUUCUCACAUGUGUGUACAUUUAUGCAUGUGUGUGUGUGCAUGUAUCCCAGAAUGACAUACAGUAUUACUUUGCAUGCUUUGGGUACAUAAAUGACAUUAUACUAUAUAUGCCAUUCUAAAAUUUAUUUUUUUCAUUCAAGAUUCAUAUUCUAUCCAUGUUGGUAUAAGUAAAUAUAGCUAUGCUUUUUACAUACUUCAAAUUAUCCCAGUGCAUACAUACACCCCAUUUUGUUCAAAAACUUAUCUACUGAUAGGCAAAUAAAGUUGUUUCCAUUUUUCACUUUUAUAAACAAUGCUGCAAAAAAUUCUUAUCUAUUUUUUCUUAAGCACGUAUGCUAGAGUCUCUCCACAGUAUACACCUACAGAGAGAAUUUUUAGGUCACAGAAUAAGUGCAUUUUAAAUUCAUAUGUUACUCUUUCCAAAGUAGCUAUGUUGGUCUAAAAUCCCACUAGUGAUGUGUUAGUGCUCCCAUUCUUCUUACAUUCUUGUCAAUACAAGAUAUAAUCAAACUUUAAAAAUAGGGCUUCCCUGGUGGCGCAGUGGUUGAGAAUCCGCCUGCCGAUGCAGGGGACACGGGUUCGUGCCCCGGUCCAGGAAGAUCCCACAUGCCGCGGAGCAGCUGGGCCCGUGAGCCAUGGCCGCAGAGCCUGUGCGUCCGGAGCCUGUGCUCCGCAACGGGAGAGGCCACAACGGUGAGAGGCCCACAUAUCACAAAAACAAAACAAAAAAUGUUUGCCAUCUGUUGGACGGCAGGAAAUUUUUCACUGUUGUAUUAAUUUGCAUGUACUUAGUAAGUACUGAGGAUAAACAUUUUUUUCAUAUACUUAUUGGCCAUUAACAUUUCCCCUGUGAAUUUCCUAUUCAUAUCCUCUGUCAUUUUUCUAUGACACUUUUUUGGUCUUACUUAUCUGUAGAAUGUUAACAUACACUAGACAAUAAUUCAGAUAUGUGUUCCAACUAUCUUCUGUCAGUCUGCUGUUUGACUUUUACUUUGGUUGGUCUAUGGUAUCCUCUAUCCUACAAAAAUUUUAAGUUUUGAUCCAGCCAAAUUAAUAUGUGCUUUCCCUUACAGUGUAUGUUAAAUAGCCCAUGCAAUAAAAAGGAAAUCAUAAAGGAACUGAGAAAUGUUUAGAAAUGAAUUACAAUAAAAAUACAACAUGUCAAACUAUAUGUGACACGGCUAAAACAGUACUCAGAUGCCAGGAAAUGAAAAGGUUUAAAAAUAUA